RNAcentral lists this ribosomal RNA (468 nucleotides) under uncultured bacterium. RNAcentral's name for it is "partial 16S ribosomal RNA". It matches the Rfam family "Bacterial small subunit ribosomal RNA", at positions 28 to 507 of the family's 1533-position model. The record is from RNAcentral.
GACGAACGCUGGCGGCGUGCUUAACACAUGCAAGUCGAACGGAAAGGCCCUGCUUUUGUGGGGUGCUCGAGUGGCGAACGGGUGAGUAACACGUGAGUAACCUGCCCUUGACUUUGGGAUAACUUCAGGAAACUGGGGCUAAUACCGGAUAUGAGCUCCUGCUGCAUGGUGGGGGUUGGAAAGUUUCGGCGGUUGGGGAUGGACUCGCGGCUUAUCAGCUUGUUGGUGGGGUAGUGGCUUACCAAGGCUUUGACGGGUAGCCGGCCUGAGAGGGUGACCGGCCACAUUGGGACUGAGAUACGGCCCAGACUCCUACGGGAGGCAGCAGUGGGGAAUAUUGCACAGUGGGGGGAAGCCUGAUGCAGCAACGCCGCGUGCGGGAUGACGGCCUUCGGGUUGUAAACCGCUUUCGCCUGUGACGAAGCGUGAGUGACGGUAAUGGGUAAAGAAGCACCGGCUAACUACGUG